UAGGGAAUCUUCGGCAAUGGACGAAAGUCUGACCGAGCAACGCCGCGUGAGUGAAGAAGGUUUUCGGAUCGUAAAACUCUGUUGUUAGAGAAGAACAAGGACGUUAGUAACUGAACGUCCCCUGACGGUAUCUAACCAGAAAGCCACGGCUAACUACGUGCCAGCAGCCGCGGUAAUACGUAGGUGGCAAGCGUUGUCCGGAUUUAUUGGGCGUAAAGCGAGCGCAGGCGGUUUCUUAAGUCUGAUGUGAAAGCCCCCGGCUCAACCGGGGAGGGUAAUUGGAAACUGGGAGACUUGAGUGCAGAAGAGGAGAGUGGAAUUCCAUGUGUAGCGGUGAAAUGCGUAGAUAUAAGGAGGAACACCAGUGGCGAAGGCGGCUCUCUGGUCUGUAACUGACGCUGAGGCUCGAAAGCGUGGGGAGCAAACAGG
This 429-nucleotide ribosomal RNA is filed under the name Gemmatimonadota bacterium. RNAcentral's name for it is "Gemmatimonadetes bacterium partial 16S ribosomal RNA". It matches the Rfam family "Bacterial small subunit ribosomal RNA", at positions 355 to 776 of the family's 1533-position model. The record is from RNAcentral. Lineage: Bacteria; Pseudomonadati; Gemmatimonadota.